RNAcentral lists this ribosomal RNA (253 nucleotides) under uncultured bacterium. RNAcentral describes it as "partial 16S ribosomal RNA". It matches the Rfam family "Bacterial small subunit ribosomal RNA", at positions 524 to 776 of the family's 1533-position model. The record is from RNAcentral.
UACGUAGGGUGCGAGCGUUAAUCGGAAUUACUGGGCGUAAAGAGUGCGUAGGCGGUUUUUUGUGUUCGCUGUGAAAGCCCCGGGCUUAACCUGGGAAUUGCCGUGGAAACUAGAGGUCUUGAAUCCGGCAGAGGGGGGUGGAAUGCCACGUGUAGCGGUGAAAUGCGUAGAGAUGUGGCGGAACACCGAUGGCGAAGGCAGCCCCCUGGGCUGAGAUUGACGCUCAGGCACGAAAGCGUGGGGAGCAAACAGG